GUGCGGUCCAGGGGGAGGCGGGCGGAGGGAAGCGCCGCUGCCGCCACUGCCGCCGCUGCCGCCACUGCCGCCGCCUCACCCGCGGCGACACAGACGCCGGGAGCGGCCGAGGCGCCUCUUCGAUAGGACUCCUCAGGAGGAUCAAAGAGCUCCCUCUGUUUUCCUGCCUGGGCCCUAACUGAUUCAGAAGCACUUUGCCACGGCUUCACCACACCGUGUCUGCUCCAGAGUGGAGAGAGAAGCUGAUGGCUCUGAUGAUAUGCGAUUCCGUGCCAACUCCUGAGUGACUUCUUCUGACUUGAGCUGGCAGUGUGCUUUGAGAGAUCUACCACAGGAAAUACCUGCCUGCAGUGACAGGAACAGCAAGAUGGAAUAGCUUCAUUCUGAGGUCUAGGGUAAGGGAAAGAGGAAGAUGGCUCUCCCUGCCGUAAUUGCCUUCGUGAGACGGAGAAGAGAAAGGGAGACAAGUGAAAAGAAGACGAGAAAGAGACUGCAUAACAGGCCCUCUGGUGGCUUUCAGCUUCUCAGAAAAGGAGUGUGAACGGAAAGAUCCGAAAGAACUCCAGAUGUCCAUGGGGCCAAGGAGUGCAUCAUCAUAAUUCCAGACAGGUCUUAAUGAUUCCCCAGCCAUCUCGGGAACAGUCCCCUUGACUUUCAGCUUGGAUAUAUUUAACUUUGUACAUCCUAAUGAUUGCUAUGUAUAUGUGUGUGUCACACACACAAUAUCUUAUUCUGUAUUAUGACAUAUUGUGACAGUUGUGUUAAAUUUGUUGCUUUAUAUAUUUUUCUCCACUCCUGCCUCUUCUACUCCACCCUUUCUACUCCGUGGGUGGUCCGGGGACCAGCAGCAUCAGCCUCACCUGAGAGCUUGUUAGAAAUGCAGCAUCGCAGGUCCCACUCUCAGACCUGAUGAGUCAGAAUCUGCAUUUUAACAGGAUUCCCAGGGAUUCUCCUGCAUUUGAAUCUUUGAGAAUUGAUGUUUUACAUAAUGACUGUUUCAUUUUAUUUUUUUUUAGCCAACUGUGCUUUUAAUAAUGAGAUUAAAAUCCUUCAAAGUCAAAAUAUUGUGAAGGUAACCCUACUUUAAGAUUAGACCAGAUAUAGUGCACACAAUUAAGGCAUUUAAACGCAUUUUCUAGUUAAAUUAUUGAAUUUAUCAUUGAUAAGCGUAUUUAAAGCUUCUUAUUUUCAAAUUCUUUGAGUUUUGCGUUCUUAGCUCUCACAAACCUUGGCUCAUUCUUGUAGCACGGACUUUUCCAUUGCUUCAUCUUAUAAAGAGAUUUCUCAGACGUGUGAAGCCUUCCUCCUGUGGGCAAUUGUGUCUUCUUCUCCAUUUUGGUUUUAGCUCAAGCAACCGGUACCUGCAUGAAGCUUCUGUUGAUGCUUCAAAACCUGGCCUGAAAGGUUCUAGCAAGGACCCAUCCCUCUGUCAAGGUUCUCGCCAAAAGACCCUCAGCUUUUGAAUUUUCCCAACAUUGAGUAUCUUGUAAUGCAAUGAUAUGGGACUCUGCUGUCAGAAUUCUAGUUUUCUCUAUUUUUUUCUCAAUUUCCAAUAAAGGUUAAUUUACAUUUAUCCCAA
Long non-coding RNA from Equus caballus (horse), 1579 nucleotides. Lineage: Eukaryota; Metazoa; Chordata; Mammalia; Perissodactyla; Equidae. The record is from Ensembl.